Molecule: ribosomal RNA, 442 nt
Filed under: uncultured bacterium
Lineage: Bacteria
Description: partial 16S ribosomal RNA
Rfam family: Bacterial small subunit ribosomal RNA
Source: RNAcentral
CCUACGGGCGGCAGCAGUGGGGGAUAUUGCACAAUGGGGGAAACCCUGAUGCAGCGACGCCGCGUGUAGGAAGACGGUCCUCUGGAUUGUAAACUUCUGUCGCGAGGGAUGAAGAAUGACGGUACCUCGUAAGAAAGCCCCGGCAAACUACGUGCCAGCAGCCGCGGUAAUACGUAGGGGGCGAGCGUUGUCCGGAAUGACUGGGCGUAAAGGGAGUGUAGGCGGCAUAUUAAGUUAUGUGUGAAAGCCCGCGGCUCAACCGCGGAAUUGCACAUAAAACUGGUAAGCUGGAGUGCAGGAGAGGUAAGUGGAAUUCCCGGUGUAGCGGUGGAAUGCGUAGAUAUCGGGAGGAACACCAGAGGCGAAGGCGACUUACUGGACUGUAACUGACGCUGAGGCUCGAAAGCGUGGGGAGCAAACAGGAUUAGAUACCCUUGUAGUC